RNAcentral lists this ribosomal RNA (440 nucleotides) under uncultured bacterium. Its description in RNAcentral is "partial 16S ribosomal RNA". It matches the Rfam family "Bacterial small subunit ribosomal RNA", at positions 338 to 795 of the family's 1533-position model. The record is from RNAcentral.
CCUACGGGGGGCAGCAGUGGGGGAUAUUGCACAAUGGGGGAAACCCUGAUGCAGCGACGCCGCGUGUGGGAAGACGGUCCUCUGGAUUGUAAACCACUGUCCCCAGGGACGAAGAUGACGGUACCUGGGGAGGAAGCUCCGGCUAACUACGUGCCAGCAGCCGCGGUAAUACGUAGGGAGCGAGCGUUGUCCGGAAUUACUGGGUGUAAAGGGAGCGUAGGCGGGGAUGCAAGUUGGGUGUCAAAACUACCGGCUCAACUGGUAGUCGCACUCAAAACUGCAGCUCUUGAGUGAAGUAGAGGCAGGCGGAAUUCCUAGUGUAGCGGUGAAAUGCGUAGAUAUCGCGCAGAACCCCGAUUGCGAAGGCAGCGUGCCGUGCCGCCACUGACGCUGAGGCACGAAAGCGCGGGGAUCGAACAGGAUUAGAUACCCGAGUAGUC